RNAcentral lists this ribosomal RNA (608 nucleotides) under Eisenia fetida (common brandling worm). RNAcentral describes it as "partial 16S ribosomal RNA". Lineage: Eukaryota; Metazoa; Annelida; Clitellata; Crassiclitellata; Lumbricidae. The record is from RNAcentral.
ACUCACUUUCAUCUUACAAAACACUAUUAAUCAAAACAGUAUAAAACUAAACCAAUCUCAAAUAAAAAAUUAUACAGUACUAUAAAGGAAAUAAAAUUUUUAACUUAAAGUAGUGACACUUCACGUACCUUGUGCAUUAUGGUUUUACAAGCUAAUAAUUUAAAAUAUAUUCCCGAAUUCUACGCGAGCUGUUCAUUUAUAGCUAUAGAGCCCACUACUAGUUGUAGCACCAACUUUAGAAAAUAUUUGAACAGAGGCUACAUACCACGCGCGCUAGAACAUUGCUGGUUUUCAGUUAAAUUUAUAAAUUAAUACAUAUAAUUAUAUUAUAGUGUAAGAUCUCAGAGGAUAAGCCCUGUGAUCCUAAGCUAAUAACCAUACAUAAACCCCCAUAGGCUUAAAACCAGCCAUUAAUAGUACUUUACCGUACAAUAUUUCCAAUAAACAGAAUCCUGUGCCCCCUAAAGCUGAAAUUUAAGACAAACCUAAGAUCUUAAAAUAUUAUGUAAAAAUAAGUAUUAGAAAAAAAAAUAACCUUAAGCUUCCACGAAUUCUCAAUAUUAUAUACACAUUAACACUUAUAAAGGAAACUCGGCAAAUAUUAUUUU